Molecule: ribosomal RNA, 544 nt
Filed under: uncultured bacterium
Lineage: Bacteria
Description: bacterial SSU rRNA
Rfam family: Bacterial small subunit ribosomal RNA
Source: RNAcentral
AGAGUUUGAUCAUGGCUCAGAACGAACGCUGGCGGCGUGGAUUAGGCAUGCAAGUCGAACGCGAAAGAGGGAGCAAUCCCUCGAGUAGAGUGGCGAACGGGUGAGUAACACGUGAGAAACCUACCUUCAGCAGGGGGAUAACACUCCCAACGGGGUGCUAAUACCGCAUGAGACCACGGGUCCGCAUGGGCCUGAGGUCAAAGGUGGCCUCUACUUGUAAGCUACCGGCUGAAGAUGGUCUCGCGUCCCAUUAGCUAGUUGGUGGGGUAACGGCUCACCAAGGCGACGAUGGGUAGCUGGUCUGAGAGGAUGGUCAGCCACACUGGGACUGAGAUACGGCCCAGACUCCUACGGGAGGCAGCAGUCGAGAGGCUUUGGCAAUGGGGGAAACCCUGACCAAGCGACGCCGCGUGGGGGAUGAAGGCCCUUGGGUUGUAAACCCCUUUUGUCGGGGAAGAAACACGAUCAAGUGAAUAAUUUGGUCGUUUGACGGUACCCGGCGAAUAAGCUCCGGCUAACUCCGUGCCAGCCGCCGCGGUAAUAC